AUGUUACGUUACACAUGCAAACUAAAUCCCGUAUUAACUAUUUGCAGUCUUGUUUUCAAUAGGUAUUAUAUGAUACAGUUCUGUAUGAAAUGUUUAUAAUUUUAUGUAUUUAAAACUUUUUAAGGAAUAAUGAUAGAAACACGCUAAUUUUUAUUUAAAAAAAUUCACAGUAAAGCUAGAAUAAUGUAAGGAAUGAGUUACCAGAAUUUUGUUUUUGCCACUGAGAAUGAGAUGUUAAAUAAAUUUAAUAUAAUAUAAGGCAAUAAACUGUGAAAUUUUAUUCUUUGUUACAUUUUUUAAUAUUGGACCGAUAAGCACAAUCGAGUAAAAAAUUUUCCUAAUGCUUGCUAUAUAGUAAUAUAGUUUUUUAUCAUUAUUGAUAGAUUCUAUUAUUAACACCAUAUUGGAUAUUUUUACUUUAUUAAGCACAAAAUGUACCAAAAUAGUCUUUAUUUUUCUUGUAUGUUAACUGUUACUGUCUUAUUAUACAUAUUAAUAUAUAUCUCUGUGAUAAUAAUAACUUGACUGCAGGAACAAAAAGCUUGAUAUACCACACGAGUUUUUCAAGAACGUGAAGAGUAAACAAUAUAUCAACGUAACUGAGAUUAUUGAGAUAUUUUCCUUGAUUUUGUCUUAGACAAAUGAUUAUAAAAAGCUUGACCAAUUAUUGUACUCUAUCUUUCAGAAUUCACAGCAGCAGAUAUUAUUAAGUAUUGCUCAUAUAGAGCAACCAGAGAAGUUUCAGACUAAACCAACAAUUACUAUAGAAGAACUCACAGAUUUUGCGGGAGGACAAGUAUAGACCGAAAAAAUAAGAAGAUUAAAUCGUAACAAACUAUCUCUAUUCACAGCAUCUGUGAUGGAUCUUGUUUUCACAGAUAAGGAAAUGGGAAAUUAUACGAGUAGUAUGACUGGAAUACGAGCAAUUUUCCUCGAGAAAAAUUGAAACUUUUUUAACUUUAACAUUUAAUACAUUUUAAAAGAAUUUGAUUAUCCUACAGAAGGGCCAUUAAACAAGGUUGCAAUAGCAGAAAUUUUCAAAG
This is a long non-coding RNA of Solenopsis invicta (red fire ant), 1043 nucleotides long. RefSeq lists it as uncharacterized. The record is from RefSeq and is a predicted model, not a curated record. Lineage: Eukaryota; Metazoa; Arthropoda; Insecta; Hymenoptera; Formicidae. The transcript is spliced from 3 exons.